GUCUGAUGUCUCCGUCGCUGCCUCUCCGCAUCUCUGAGUCUCCCUGUACUUCCAGCGUGUUGCCCCGGCUGGAGAGACACGUUGAUGGAGGCGGCCGUGUGUGUCAUCCCUUGCCUGUAUCCUCUGGCGUCCAGAGGCGCGUAAGUGGAGAGCAUCGGCGCAGCGCGGGAGCAGCACGUCAGGGUGUAGGGUGUUUUUUUAGCUGGUGUAGGGUGUUAGGGUGUUAGGUGUAACAACGGUUGGCUCUUUCACAGAACGGGUGUGAUUCCGUUCUGCGUUUGAGUCUUCCACCUUCGGGCGGUCUCCCUCCGAGAUGUCCGAAGUUUUUUUGUCGGUUUCCUCCGUAGGAGGAAGCCGGCUCUAGCUACUCUGGUCUCUCUUCCGGGGGCCAGAGCGGUCGGGCUCUGCUUGGCCAGGCGUUGCCUUUCGCGUUGUCUCCGCCGAAGUUUUGCCAGACUCUUCCGUAAGGUUGAGCCUGGCUUUUUUAUUAGGUGGAUCAGGCUGCCUUCUUCCAAGGAGUCUGAUGGGAGUGGAGUCUUUUUUUUGGUGUAUGUCUGUGGGUGCUCAGUGGGUAAGGGAGGGUGGGGUAGAAUGGUUGGUGGGCUGGAAGUGGGUUGGGGGAUGAACCCUCUGGGAUUUGGGUUGUGUCGAGCCUUACCGCCUGGUGUGUUGGGUAAACCUUCACGCCAGGGGGGGGGUGCCAAGACCAUAUCCAUUUCCUGGGGCAGGGCGAUUCCCCUUUCCCAUGCUAACUGGCCCUCCUCCGUCUGCCUCCCCAAACCCCCGCUGAGUGCUUGUGUGUGUUAUUUUAUUUAGGAUGUCUUUUUUUUGUAUGCCUUUUUCCCGUGUGUUUAUACCCAAUAGCUAGCGUGUGUGUGUGUGGCAGUCCGGAGGCGCGUGCAGCGAGGACAUCACAUCACGUCACUACGGUAUAUCCACGGUAUUUGGUUUAGUGUGUGUGUUUGUGUGUGUGAUGGCAGGCCUGCCGUGUGUUUGACCUUUUGCUGUGUGUUGCUGUGUGACUGCUAGGAUUUCAUUUCUAUGUAUGUUUUUUUCCCCAUAACCCCCUUCCUCCCUAGCUCUUUAGCUGUUGUCCCUGGCUAGGCGCUGGGUGGAUGCUGCCGGGCGACCAACGGCGGUGGCGGUGUGCAACGCGGGAGCGGCUGAGGUUUGGGUAGCACUACGGUGCAGGUUAUGUAGGGUGUGUGAGUUUUUUUUUUGUGUGAGUGUCUUUUUUUUGUGUGUGGGGUGUUGGCGGGGGACUUAGCUAAUCACUGUGUCAGGAAGGCAUAGGCGUGGCCGUCUGUCCAUCAGGCCGACGGGCGGGUGUGCCACCUGGCAGUCAGGCUAGCAGGUGACAGGCAAGCUAUCUGGUGGUCAGGCUGGCAGUCGGGCCAUCAGAUAGGUAGGCAGGCCACCUUGCGGUCGGGUUGUCGGGCGGGCACGCCACCCUCGGUCAGGUAGGCAGGCAGCAGCGUCUACGCUGAGCCGUACGGCUACACGUACGAACGCACGGAACCCGUACGCUACGUUCCGCUGCACUGACGCUCGUCGUACCUCUGCUCGCACGCUUGCGGGCGGGUAGGGGGCGGGGGGCGGAUGGGCGGACGGGCGGGCGUACGUGGGAACGGGCGGGCGGACGGGUGGUCGGGCGGGUAGGGAGUCGGAGCAACGCUUGAAAGACGCGCAGAUAGAUGUCAGAUUCUCCCGUAGGGAGGUCUGGCAAGGUGAUAGUGUGGGCGGCGGGGUUUUACGCGGGUGAGUCUGUGUUAGAGCUCUGCCGCCAGGGCAGCUCCUUCCGAGCUGCCUGAACUGAGGACCAGUUUUCCUCACAGGAGGAGGCUGGUGGGGCUUAGGGUGUUAGGGGUACAACGGUUGGCUCUUUCACAGAACGGGUGUGAUUCCGUUCUGCGUUUGGGUCUGCCGCCUUUGGGCAUCUCCCUCCGAGAUGUCGGUUAGGAUUUCUUUUUUUUAUAUGUCCGUGUGUGUAACUGUUGCCUUUUAGCCUGUUGUGUUCCUGAGCAGCAAGAAGAGGAGGCUGUGGUGACCCGCCCGAUGCGGAAGGCUUCUGGGCCCUCUCGGCGGGGGCGCACCUCUCUGGCUGACUGGUUAAGGGAGGGCUUCCCGUCUGGCCGGCUGUAGGUUCAGUCCCAGGAUUGAACCCAUGGCUUGCCAGAUGGGGGGCUGCGCCUGUGACCAGGAGGCCGGGGAGGCGCCCCCUCGCUGGGCAGAGUCUGGGGGCCCUCCGUCUUGGGGAGGUCGCUGCAGCAGGAGGAGUAAAGAACAGGCAACAAGAAACCUCCACGGCCGAGCUUCAACAACAGAACACCUCGUCACCGUUGAUGAGGCUCCACGCCCCGGACCACAGCCAUGUUAGCCUCGAUAAUAGUCCUCGGCGCACUUAUUCUGAGACGUCCUGGCUGGAGAGCUACACAACACCGGUCAUCCGCUGAGUGGUUGAAUUCCUGGUCUACCGGCCCCUGGAGGAGUGGUCGAUUGCCUGGUCUACUGUGGAUAUGAGUGGUUGAUUCCCUGGUCUACCCCUGGAUGACGCAGCUGUUCCUAUGCAGGGGAAAACUCACACAAGCGAUAAGCACCUGUCGGACCUGGAGACUCCCCCCUGAGCCUGACGGUGGAGCUGUGGGCCCUGCACCAGACCCCCACACCCCCCCACACCACCCACAGCAGGGGCAGGGCAUUGAGACUCCCCCCACAGGCUAAGACAGGGAGGGACUUUAAGAUCCAGGUUUUUGUCAUCUGCACAGGAAUUGACACGUGACCCGCUGCGUGUUCUGCUGGAGAAAAACACUGCAUGACUGUUGUUGGGAGAAGACACAGCAUGAAGGCUUCCAGGAGCUGCAAGACAUCCUUGUGGUCAGGGCGCCUGGUCAUUAUGAUGGAGCGUCGGCAGAGAUCGAGCUGGCGGAAGGUUGGCGGCCGGGUCAAGCUCACCACCGACAAGGAUUUCCGUGACGUGCGCUCGGCCAAUGUUGUUGACCUCGGCUAUGACAAUCUUACUAAGGUGGUGGAGGUGGGGAACGGCAUCUACAUUGACGACGGACUCAAGGAGAUCCCUGAGACUACUACUACUACUAUUACUAUUGCUAUCCUCUAUACUGCUAUGUGUACUAUUAAAUCCUCUUUACUGCUA
Molecule: long non-coding RNA, 3151 nt
Organism: Eriocheir sinensis (Chinese mitten crab)
Lineage: Eukaryota; Metazoa; Arthropoda; Malacostraca; Decapoda; Varunidae
Exons: 7
Source: RefSeq, a predicted model, not a curated record